CCAUUUAGGUCUCAAACUUUAAUUUGUAGUAUUUUCGGACUCCAACUUUUAAAAUUAUUAUAAUCAUGUCGUAUAACCUAAUUUAGUUAAACUAAAUAUCAACGUAUCGCUAACAAAGAAGAGAUGUAGCAGGAUUGUGAUUAAUGAUACAUCAAUAAAUAAGAUGUCACAUUACUUUUACAUCAAUGGUACGUCAAUAUUUAACUAACUAAAUUGAAUUGUGAGAUUUGAUAGUAAUAACUUUGAAAAUUUAAGCUAAAAACUACAAUAAACUAAAAGUUGAGGAUCAAAAUAGCACCGACCUCACAAU
This 310-nucleotide long non-coding RNA is filed under the name Ananas comosus (pineapple). RNAcentral describes it as "long non-coding RNA (ACOM_LNC020708)". Lineage: Eukaryota; Viridiplantae; Streptophyta; Magnoliopsida; Poales; Bromeliaceae. The record is from RNAcentral.